GAUGAAGAACGUAGCGAAAUGCGAUACUUGGUGUGAAUUGCAGAAUCCCGUGAACCAUCGAGUCUUUGAACGCAAGUUGCGCCCGAAGCCAUUAGGCCGAGGGCACGCCUGCCUGGGUGUCGCACGUCGUUGCCCCCCCAUCUACUCCUUCGGGAUUGCGGGGGGCGGAUGAUGGCCUCCCGUGCGCCUCGUCGCGCGGUUGGCAUAAAUGCCAAGUCCUCGGCGACGCACGCCACGACAAUCGGUGGUUGCGAAACCUCGGUUGCCCGUCGUGUGCGGUCGUCGCGCAUCGAGGGCUCGAAAAAAUUGCCGGGCUCCGGCUCGGCUUUCAACGCGACCCCAGGUCAGGCGGGGUUACCCGCUGAAUUUAAGCAUAUCAAUAAGCGGAGGA
RNAcentral lists this unclassified non-coding RNA (391 nucleotides) under soil metagenome. RNAcentral describes it as "partial contains 5.8S ribosomal RNA, internal transcribed spacer 2, and large subunit ribosomal RNA". The stretch from base 1 to 122 matches the Rfam family "5.8S ribosomal RNA", at positions 35 to 154 of the family's 154-position model. The record is from RNAcentral.